This 370-nucleotide ribosomal RNA is filed under the name uncultured bacterium. RNAcentral's name for it is "bacterial SSU rRNA". It matches the Rfam family "Bacterial small subunit ribosomal RNA", at positions 526 to 896 of the family's 1533-position model. The record is from RNAcentral.
GUAGCGCAGCAAACGUUGUUCGGAAUUACUGGGCGUAAAGAGUGUGUAGGCGGUUUUGUAAGUUUGGUGUGAAAUCUCCCGGCUUAACUGGGAGGGUGCGCCGAAAACUGCAAGGCUUGAGUGCUGGAGAGGAGAGCGGAAUUCCUGGUGUAGCGGUGAAAUGCGUAGAUAUCAGGAGGAACACCGGCGGUGUAGGCGGCUCUCUGGACAGUAACUGACGCUGAGACACGAAAGCGUGGGGAGCAAACAGGAUUAGAUACCCUGGUAGUCCACGCCCUAAACGAUGCAUACUUGGUGUGAGCCAUUCAUUUGGUUCGUGCCGGAGCUAACGCGUUAAGUAUGCCGCCUGGGGAGUACGGUCGCAAGGCUG